Molecule: non-coding RNA, 893 nt
Filed under: Macaca mulatta (Rhesus monkey)
Lineage: Eukaryota; Metazoa; Chordata; Mammalia; Primates; Cercopithecidae
Source: RNAcentral
UUUUUUUUUUUUUCUAAGAUAGAGUUUGCUCUUGUUGCGCAGGCUGGAGUGCAACGGCACAAUCUCGGCUCACUGCAACUUCCGCCUCCCAGGUUUAAGCGGUUCUCCUGCCUCAGCCUCCCGAGUAGCUGGGAUUACAGGCGCCUGCCACCAUGCCGGGCUAAUUUUGUAUUUUUAGUAGAGACAGGGUUUCUCCAUGUUGGUCAGAUUGGUCUUGAACUUCCAACCUCAGGUGAUCUACCCGCCUCAGCCUCCCAAAGUUCUGGGAUUACAAGCGUGAGCCACCGCACCUGGCCAUAGUUGUCUUUCUUAAUGUGGAUUUAAUCUGCAUUGUCCCUAAGAACUCAGAAUUACUGUUGAUGCUUCAAAGGUGUGUGUGUGUGUGUGUGUGUGUGUUCAGUUGAUUCAGAAAUUCCUCCCAGGAAAAUAGAAGACCCCAGGAGGAGUGAGGCAACACCUCUUUAUCUGCUACUGGCAGAGAGAUCUUCAUGAAAAUACACAUGAACCUCCAGAACUCGAUGUGCUCCACCAGCCAGCCUUCACCUAUCAAAGCCAACCCUGCAACUUACUGCUGAAGCCCCCAUGGAAUAGCUCAGCUAGCAGGAACUGUAGAGUAGGGGAUUCUUACUUCAGUGCAUCUUGAUGUUCUGAGUGAGGGAACAGCACAGACCCUCUGGGAGACCAUCUCCUGUGUGUUAGUGAGGUCUUACAUUGUAAAGGUUUUGAAGAAAGGAGACUGUGUCUGUGAGUCCUCAAUAAAGCAGACACCUGGUUGGAGUUAGGAGUCCAAAGGGCUUAUCUGAAGUGGCACCUUGCCAGCCCUCGUGUCCCUGCAGCCUCUGGCACAACCGUGCCACCUCUGUGCAGCCCCAUCGAUCAGUCCCCGCCGGGCU